RNAcentral lists this small RNA (31 nucleotides) under Xyrichtys novacula (pearly razorfish). It matches the Rfam family "Iron response element II". Rfam says of the family: IRE, TFRC, SLC40A1, SDHB, SLC11A2, CDC42BPA, ACO2, ALAS2_H.SAPIENS, CDC14A, EPAS1, ALAS2, qoxD, Hao1, NDUFS1, transferrin, Aconitate. Lineage: Eukaryota; Metazoa; Chordata; Actinopteri; Labriformes; Labridae. The record is from RNAcentral.
AAGUUAUCGGGAGCAGUGCCUUCCAUAAUUU